UCUUAGGCAAGUUAUCUUAGGUUGAUUCUUCUACAAGUUAUCUAGGAUAUAAAUAUAGGUUGUAAUGCUCUUUUUGAAGGCAAGCAAUAAGAAGAAUAUUAUCUCCUAUUGCCCGGCUCCCUGAGGAGCCGGAACCCUAGCCGCCAACAGCCCUAGCCACCGCCCUUCUCCUAGCCGCGACGGCGCCCUGCCGCCGGGGCGCCCGAUCCUCGCCACGUCUCCCUCCAUCCUUCCCUUACCACCUACGCCUAGACCUGGUAGAGUACUUGAUCCUACCAAACAACAUUGCGUGAUGGAGUCAUCAAUGGCAUCCAGAAGACCAGGGAAGCAUAUGACAAUAUUCCCAUCAUGGUGACUGGACAUUCCAUGGGAGGGACCAUGGCUUCGUUUUGUGUCCUUGAUCUUAUUGUGAGUGCUAAUAUUUGUCUGAAGAAGAUAUGCUUUCAUUUAUUUAGAAGUUUCUCUACUUUUCAUGAAUUCAUCCUCCUGCUAAAUUCUACUACAAGCUAUCCUUUUUUAAUGGAAUAGGGUGCAUUGUUGGGGAUUCCAUUCCUCCUCUGUUCUUAGUUUUAAUCGAUUCUUUCAUGUGUAUAAAAUGCAUUGAAAGAACUUCUAACAUGACUAAAAUCAUACUACAUAAUUACUGCACAGUUCUCAGACUGAACUCUCUUUACAUUUGACAGACUAGUUAUUGCUAAUAUUUUGUUGGGAAUGACAGCAAGUGUGGGCGAAUCAAGAACCUCAGUGAUAGUAUAAUUUGAUUUCUGUGCUGUUCUUCUGAAUACAAAAAUCUUAGACGAGGCAGAUGUAACUAUCUUUGUUCAUGUGUGGACAGUACACCUUCUGUAUAUCUGAACAGUGGCAUCAAGCAUAAGUAGUACUAGCGUCUGUUUUUGUCUAUCCUGAAAAGUACGACAUGCUUCUGAUUUUAGCCACCAUAUUGGGCUCGAUAGCCUAGUAUACCCGAUCGAGCAAAUCUGUGACGAUUCUGGUGAAGACCCCACUUGCAGCAGGUCUGUCAGUGGAAAUAGCGUGCAAGACCAUAUCCACUAUCUUGGCAUCAGCAUGCAUUCCGAGUCGCGGGGAUCAUGCAGGAUCGUCACGGAUGACAAUAUGCUCAGGUACAAAGUUGGCACUGUAGACGGUGCUAUUGUCUUCUUGAAGCAGCCUGGUUUAUCAGUUGAUCAGCUACUCAGUGCACAGUAAACAAGCUGAAGAUUACAUGGAUUUGUUUUUAUGGUUCUUUUCUGCCGAAGUACAAUAUUCUUGUUGGCAAUCAAAGCACUAUCUCAUGUAUAUAUACGCGCGUUAUCCUGGCUGGAUUAAAUUAUCAUAGCUGAGGGUGUAUUUCUGAAAUGUACAAACAUAUUUGUGCUGAUUAACUUGUUCAUAUUCUUGUAUAUAAUUUAAUUUAUUUAAGCAUGGCGGUUGCUUUCAUUAUGUGCAGCA
This is a non-coding RNA of Triticum urartu, 1449 nucleotides long. Lineage: Eukaryota; Viridiplantae; Streptophyta; Magnoliopsida; Poales; Poaceae. The record is from RefSeq and is a predicted model, not a curated record.